ACAACAAUUGAACCCAUCACAAUAUUGGGAAAUAUAUCCUAGAGGCAAAUGCACAGAGUCUCGAAGGCUGUGAUCUUCUGAUGCCCAGAGUAAGCAAGUAAGCUCCUGCUCGUCACAUGAACAGAUUUGAAGACUCAUGUUUUCUUGGGAUCAUCGGCCUGGAUGUGUCGGGAUCAGGACCAUAAAAAUCAUACGUCUUAUCG
This 203-nucleotide long non-coding RNA is filed under the name Coccomyxa subellipsoidea. RNAcentral describes it as "long non-coding RNA (CSUB_LNC000711)". Lineage: Eukaryota; Viridiplantae; Chlorophyta; Trebouxiophyceae; Coccomyxaceae. The record is from RNAcentral.